UCGCGGCCAGGGCAGGAGGAAUAACUUCGAGGACGUGGACGACAUGAAGGUAGAAAAAGUAGAAAUCGCCUUUGACAAGAUCGAAAUCCCCGUCCAACCACCCAAAAAGAAGAAGAAGAAGAAAAAACUUUUAUAGAAAAUG
This 142-nucleotide non-coding RNA is filed under the name Pseudo-nitzschia fraudulenta. The record is from RNAcentral. Lineage: Eukaryota; Bacillariophyta; Bacillariophyceae; Bacillariales; Bacillariaceae.